GGCUAAUUAUAUAAUGUCUGCAAAACGUUUUUUAGUUACCGGCUAUUAGCUG
RNAcentral lists this transfer RNA (52 nucleotides) under Ciona intestinalis (vase tunicate). RNAcentral describes it as "tRNA (ENSCING00000025221.1)". The record is from RNAcentral. Lineage: Eukaryota; Metazoa; Chordata; Ascidiacea; Phlebobranchia; Cionidae. RNAcentral also lists the same sequence under 1 other name.